UGGUGGAGUGAUUUGUCUGGUUAAUUCCGAUAACGAACGAGACUCUAGCUUGCUAAAUAGACGGGCGAUCCCUUCGUGGGUCGACCCGAUUUGCUUCUUAGAGGGACAAGUGGCGUUCCUAGCCACGCGAAAUUGAGCAAUAACA
RNAcentral lists this ribosomal RNA (145 nucleotides) under uncultured eukaryote. Its description in RNAcentral is "partial 18S ribosomal RNA". It matches the Rfam family "Eukaryotic small subunit ribosomal RNA", at positions 1299 to 1458 of the family's 1831-position model. The record is from RNAcentral.